UAUGGCAGAUUAGUGCAUUGGACUUAAAAUCCUUUCAUAAAGAUUUAUCUUUUAUUAAAA
RNAcentral lists this transfer RNA (60 nucleotides) under Crematogaster sp. H SPQ-2003. RNAcentral's name for it is "tRNA-Leu". Lineage: Eukaryota; Metazoa; Arthropoda; Insecta; Hymenoptera; Formicidae. The record is from RNAcentral. RNAcentral also lists the same sequence under 2 other names.